GUUUUGCUGUCGACUGCGUGUGUUUUCAGCACCAGUAAAGUCUUGCUAUUACAGGAUCAGAGUCGUUGUAGACUGGGAGGCAAUAAAAACUAUCAGGCCCGUUCGUGCUGUGUUGGGUUCAGCCCAGUUACAAGACAAAGGAAGAGGAGAUGGAUACAAGAAGUCGAGAAGAUGCCCUUCUCUCUGUUUCUAAAUUACAGAGUACCUCGCCUGGAUCUGGAGGUGCAGUUACGGCGAACUCGACAUAGUCAAGGAUGGGAAAGAACCAUGGAAAUAAGAAAGGUAGGACGGUGUGGCUCGCAAGUUCAGCCACUAUACAUUCUUAUUUGUUCUUGCGCCUAUCUCCUCACCCUCCCACUCUUCCUCUAUCUGUCAUCUCUCUUUCUUUUCUCUCCCUUGCUAAUUUUCUAUCUGAUUGAACAUGGAUAGCUGACUCUGAGAUGUGCGAGCAGUAGAUAAAGACUGCCUGGUAUGGAAUUGAUUGCCAGUAUUAAUUUCUUGCUGAUUGAUACACACGUGGAUAUAGAAAAUGUACCAGCCAUCUAUACAUUCAGUUAUACAAAAGAUAUACCAACCAUCUAUGCGUUCGGUUAUACUAUACCUUCUUGUUUUGCUUGCUAAUGUGAUUGCUUGGUAUUUAUAUUAUGACAAACCAUGCUGGGUCCAUGCUAACAACAUCCUCUUGGUUCGAAUUUAACUUUUACCAGGGCUCAGGUGGUAAGCACAUUGAAAGGAUCGACGGUUGACAACCCGAUCUAUCUCAGUGACCAUGAAGGUAGAGGCCAGAGGUUAAGAGCCUGUUUGGAUUCCUUCCAUAAAAAGCAGCCUAAGCCAGGCACAAACCUUAGGCGUCCGAUUUUGGAGGCCUGAGGCUGAGAUCUCUGCCUGAGUAAAGACCUGCCUGAUAGGCCUCAAUCCAAACACCCCCUAAGAUUGUGUAGUGAACCAUGCCUUUGUGAGAGGACCAAGACAAAAGUUCAAUGCUGCAUCGUUUGCUUGCUUCCUUUGCUCGGUUCGAGAUCCAGGCCGGGAGUAGGCUAGGACCAGUGAUAAGAACGUCAGGGUGUUGCGUCAUGGCUGUAUACAUGUGUUGAAAGCAUUGAGCUUAAUUUAGAUAUGUAGGUGCAAUUCCUUUUCGUGUAUAAGAUAAUGGGUUUAUAUAUAGGCUGUCCAUGAUGGAAGUUGAAGUUACUAUAA
Triticum aestivum (bread wheat) is the source of this 1197-nucleotide long non-coding RNA. RefSeq lists it as uncharacterized. The record is from RefSeq and is a predicted model, not a curated record. Lineage: Eukaryota; Viridiplantae; Streptophyta; Magnoliopsida; Poales; Poaceae. The transcript has 5 exons.